GCCGGUGACGCCUAGUGGUUUGGCACCUAACUUGUAAUUAGGAUUACCGGGAGUUCGAUUCUCCACUCCGGCA
RNAcentral lists this transfer RNA (73 nucleotides) under Microbacterium phage Zooman. RNAcentral's name for it is "tRNA-Thr". It matches the Rfam family "tRNA". From Rfam's summary of the family: Transfer RNA (tRNA) molecules are approximately 80 nucleotides in length. The record is from RNAcentral. Lineage: Duplodnaviria; Heunggongvirae; Uroviricota; Caudoviricetes.